GACGAACGCUGGCGGCGUGCUUAACACAUGCAAGUCGAACGGAAAGGCCCUGCUUUUGUGGGGUGCUCGAGUGGCGAACGGGUGAGUAACACGUGAGUAACCUGCCCUUGACUUUGGGAUAACUUCAGGAAACUGGGGCUAAUACCGGAUAGGAGCUCCUGCUGCAUGGUGGGGGUUGGAAAGUUUCGGCGGUUGGGGAUAGACUCGCGGCUUAUCAGCUUGUUGGUGGGGUAGUGGCUUACCAAGGCUUUGACGGGUAGCCGGCCUGAGAGGGUGACCGGCCACAUUGGGACUGAGAUACGGCCCAGACGCCUACGGGAGGCAGCAGUGGGGAAUAUUGCACAAUGGGCGGAAGCCUGAUGCAGCAACGCCGCGUGCGGGAUGACGGCCUUCGGGUUGUAAACCGCUUUCGCCUGUGACGAAGCGUGAGUGACGGUAAUGGGUAAAGAAGCACCGGCUAACUACGUG
This 468-nucleotide ribosomal RNA is filed under the name uncultured bacterium. RNAcentral's name for it is "partial 16S ribosomal RNA". It matches the Rfam family "Bacterial small subunit ribosomal RNA", at positions 28 to 507 of the family's 1533-position model. The record is from RNAcentral.